AAGGGCUCACCAAGGCGACGAUCCCUAGCUGGUCUGAGAGGAUGAUCAGCCACACUGGAACUGAGACACGGUCCAGACUCCUACGGGAGGCAGCAGUGGGGAAUAUUGCACAAUGGGCGCAAGCCUGAUGCAGCCAUGCCGCGUGUGUGAAGAAGGCCUUCGGGUUGUAAAGCACUUUCAGUCGUGAGGAAGGUAGUGUAGUUAAUAGCUGCAUUAUUUGACGUUAGCGACAGAAGAAGCACCGGCUAACUCCGUGCCAGCAGCCGCGGUAAUACGGAGGGUGCGAGCGUUAAUCGGAAUUACUGGGCGUAAAGCGCAUGCAGGUGGUUUGUUAAGUCAGAUGUGAAAGCCCGGGGCUCAACCUCGGAAUUGCAUUUG
This 378-nucleotide ribosomal RNA is filed under the name Vibrio sp. R-656. Its description in RNAcentral is "bacterial SSU rRNA". It matches the Rfam family "Bacterial small subunit ribosomal RNA", at positions 259 to 629 of the family's 1533-position model. The record is from RNAcentral. Lineage: Bacteria; Pseudomonadati; Pseudomonadota; Gammaproteobacteria; Vibrionales; Vibrionaceae.